UAACACAUGCAAGUCGAACGAGAACGGAUUUUAGUUUACUAAAAUUGUCAGCUAAGUGGCGCACGGGUGAGUAAUAUAUAGUUAACCUGCCCCAAAGAAGAGAAUAAUUGAUGGAAACGUCUUGUAACUCUCUAUAUGCCUUUAUCACAUAAGUGAGCAAGGGAAACAUUUAUGGCUUUGGGAUGGGACUGUACGGUAUCAGAUAGUUGGUGAGGUAAUGGCUCACCAAGUCAAUGACGCCUAACUGGUUUGAGAGGAUGAUCAGUCACACUGGAACUGAGACACGGUCCAGACUCCUACGGGAGGCAGCAGUGGGGAAUAUUGCACAAUGGAGGAAACUCUGAUGCAGCAACGCCGCGUGGAGGAUGACACAUUUCGGUGCGUAAACUCCUUUUAUAUGAGAAGAUAAUGACGGUAUCAUAUGAAUAAGCACCGGCUAACUCCGUGCCAGCAGCCGCGGUAAUACGGGGGGUGCAAGCGUUACUCGGAAUCACUGGGCGUAAAGAGCAUGUAGGCU
This 517-nucleotide ribosomal RNA is filed under the name uncultured bacterium. Its description in RNAcentral is "bacterial SSU rRNA". It matches the Rfam family "Bacterial small subunit ribosomal RNA", at positions 49 to 577 of the family's 1533-position model. The record is from RNAcentral.